Camelus ferus (Wild Bactrian camel) is the source of this 72-nucleotide transfer RNA. It matches the Rfam family "tRNA". From Rfam's summary of the family: Transfer RNA (tRNA) molecules are approximately 80 nucleotides in length. Lineage: Eukaryota; Metazoa; Chordata; Mammalia; Artiodactyla; Camelidae. The record is from Rfam.
GAGGUUAUACCUCAGUGGUAGAGUGCCUGCUUAGCGUGCAUGAGGUCCGGGGUUCAAUACCCAGUACUUCCA